Molecule: ribosomal RNA, 517 nt
Filed under: Gephyromantis portonae
Lineage: Eukaryota; Metazoa; Chordata; Amphibia; Anura; Mantellidae
Description: partial large subunit ribosomal RNA
Rfam family: Bacterial large subunit ribosomal RNA
Source: RNAcentral
GUGACCUUGUUAAACGGCCGCAGUACCCUAACCGCGCGAAGGUAGCAUAAUCACUUGUUCUUUAAAUGAGGACUAGUAUCAACGGCAUCACGAGGGUUCCACUGUCUCCUCUUUCUAAUCAGUGAAACUAAUCCCCCCGUGAAGAAGCGGGGAUAAACCUAUAAGACGAGAAGACCCCAUGGAGCUUUAAACCUAGCUGCACCCCCAAUUAUUAUGUCAUUUUAUAAAUCGGGGGCCUGCCACGCUCAGUUUUAGGUUGGGGCGACCGCGGAGUAUAAUAAAACCUCCACGAUGAACGAAACUAUUUUCUUAUCUAAGAGCCACACCUCUAAGAAUUAGCACACUAAUGUUAAAUGAUCCUAUAAACGAUCAACGAACCAAGUUACCCUGGGGAUAACAGCGCAAUCCAUUUCAAGAGCCCCUAUCGACAAGUGGGUUUACGACCUCGAUGUUGGAUCAGGAUAUCCCAGUGGUGCAGCAGCUACUAAAGGUUCGUUUGUUCAACAAUUAAAAUCCU